This is a long non-coding RNA of Patiria miniata (bat star), 1141 nucleotides long. RefSeq lists it as uncharacterized. The record is from RefSeq and is a predicted model, not a curated record. NCBI's taxonomy places the organism in Eukaryota, Metazoa, Echinodermata, Asteroidea, Valvatida, Asterinidae. The transcript has 3 exons.
GCCACUUCAGUUGGUGGCCUGACCUGCACCGUACCCGUGAGCGAGCGUAAACGGAGUAAGCAAGAACCGAAACGAAUCUGUGAAACGUUUGACUAUCUCUGAGUCAUAAUCAAGGAUUCAAAUCAAGGAAAGACUCCGUCGGAUCUGAAGCCGAUGAACGAAGCUCGUCCAUCUUUAUUUGCUGCCUUGAAUCAGAGUCUAGCACUAGUGCGGAACCUACUGACGAGAAAGCUCCAAUAAAGACCAAGAGUUCAACGGGAUAGACUAUGGCACAGGGGGGAGCUCGCAUACACGAAAAAAGGGAGAUUCACUACCCGGACGGUACCCGCGUAUGCUGGGAAAGAACGGAAGAAAUAUUUGGAGCGCCCGCAGGCAAUCUACCGGUCGAUAGUUCUGACGUCCUUGCACUCGAGGACGGAAGCCAGGUGGAUUUGGAAAGUACUGUGCAAGAAGUGCUGAAGGAAAUGCCUGAAAUUAAAGGGAAAGCCAAGAAAACUGUCAUGGCUAAAUUAAAAAACGCAUUUCAUUCUUUAAAAAAGAACAAACAUAAAUUUAAAACGUUUUGGGAUAUUGUGAAAGAAUUAUUGCCUGUUGCCAGCAUGGUGACACAAUUAGCAAUUAAAGACAAAUAAAAGAGUGCUGUCUCCGGAAAUGCGUAUAACUGACAAACUCAGUCAAGCGGCUAUUUCCCUCGCUUCUUGCACCUAUACUUCGGGCCGGCUUUGCAUUUGUAUUGAAAUAAAAGAUGAGAUUGGUAAAGCUAACCCUCAUUUGAAAAUCAGUUACCGAAUGUAUUUUAGUUUACGCUGACCAUGUGAUGUAAUCACACGGUUUAGUUUGAAUAUCUGUUUUAAUUGUAUAAAGUGAGGAAGAUAUAAAAAGUAAUUUGCAACGUUUCAACUAGGUCUACUCGUCACCUUUCUAUGUGCUAAGUUUUAUCCUAGAAGGCAUACAGGCGCAGUUCUGGAUAAAAUUCUAAAAAUAUUAUAGAUUUCUGUAGCCUGCAGAAAAACUUUUGAAUUAUGUUUUUGAAACUGGUUGAGGAAAACAAUUAGGGUGUUCCAUAGGCAAAGUGGAAAUAUUAAUGUAACAAUCUCCGGACAUGUUACUAAAUUUAUACAAGAAAACGUCAAGUGUAAGG